GUCGAGGAUCUUCGGCAAUGGGCGCAAGCCUGACCGAGCGACGCCGCGUGCGCGAUGAAGGCCUUCGGGUUGUAAAGCGCUGUCGAGGGGGAGGAAAGCCCGCAAGGGUCUGACUAAUCCCUGGAGGAAGCACGGGCUAAGUUCGUGCCAGCAGCCGCGGUAAGACGAACCGUGCGAACGUUGUUCGGAUUCACUGGGCUUAAAGGGCGCGUAGGCGGGCUGGCCAGUCAGGGGUGAAAUCCUCCGGCUUAACCGGAGAACAGCCUUUGAUACUGCCAGUCUCGAGGAAGGUAGGGGCAUGUGGAACUUCCGGUGGAGCGGUGAAAUGCGUAGAUAUCGGAAGGAACGCCGGUGGCGAAAGCGACGUGCUGGACCUUUUCUGACGCUGAGGCGCGAAAGCCAGGGGAGCAAACGGGAUUAGAAACCCCGGUAGUCC
RNAcentral lists this ribosomal RNA (436 nucleotides) under uncultured bacterium. Its description in RNAcentral is "bacterial SSU rRNA". It matches the Rfam family "Bacterial small subunit ribosomal RNA", at positions 354 to 796 of the family's 1533-position model. The record is from RNAcentral.